CAGAGGGUGCAAGCGUUAAUCGGAAUCACUGGGCGUAAAGCGUGCGUAGGUGGUCAUGCAAGUCGGGUGUGAAAUCCCCGGGCUUAACCUGGGAACUGCAUUCGAUACUACAUGGCUAGAGUAUGGUAGAGGGAAGUGGAAUUUCCGGUGUAGCGGUGAAAUGCGUAGAUAUCGGAAGGAACACCAAUGGCGAAGGCAGCUUCCUGGACUAAUACUGACACUGAGGCACGAAAGCGUGGGUAGCAA
This 246-nucleotide ribosomal RNA is filed under the name uncultured bacterium. RNAcentral's name for it is "partial 16S ribosomal RNA". It matches the Rfam family "Bacterial small subunit ribosomal RNA", at positions 526 to 771 of the family's 1533-position model. The record is from RNAcentral.